Molecule: unclassified non-coding RNA, 400 nt
Filed under: soil metagenome
Description: partial contains 5.8S ribosomal RNA, internal transcribed spacer 2, and large subunit ribosomal RNA
Rfam family: 5.8S ribosomal RNA (bases 1-122)
Source: RNAcentral
GAUGAAGAACGUAGCGAAAUGCGAUACUUGGUGUGAAUUGCAGAAUCCCGUGAACCAUCGAGUCUUUGAACGCAAGUUGCGCCUCAAGCCAUUAGGUUGAGGGCACGUCUGCCUGGGCGACACAUAUCGUUGCCUGAUGCCAGUUUCCUCGUGAUGGGUGACUGUGCAGGGCGAAUGAUGGCUUCCCGUGAGCAUUGUUGCCUCAUGGUUGGUUGAAAAUUGAGUCCUUGGUAGGGAGCGCCGUGAUAGAUGGUGGUUGAGUGACGAACGAGACCCAAUCAUGUGAGACCCCUACCGAAUUUGGCCUUCAUGACCCACAUGCGUCUUUGGAACGCUCAUGACGAGACCUCAGGUCAGGCGGGGCUACCCGCUGAGUUUAAGCAUAUCAAUAAGCGGAGGA